Gadus chalcogrammus (walleye pollock) is the source of this 662-nucleotide long non-coding RNA. RefSeq lists it as uncharacterized. The transcript has 4 exons. The record is from RefSeq and is a predicted model, not a curated record. Lineage: Eukaryota; Metazoa; Chordata; Actinopteri; Gadiformes; Gadidae.
AGAGAUAACUCCAUGAGAAAUUACCCCCACCCCCCAACUCAAAUGAAAGCCCUAUGGAAAACGGCUGAACUUUCCAAGCAGAACAUCUCGGAGUCCCUCACAGUCCAGUGUUCCUCUCCUAACUACCAAGGAUACUUUUAUUUUGUAUCCUCCGCUGCGCCGGUCUGGAGAAGGAACCAAAAGGAGGCUGAGAGAGUCUCUGCUUCAGAGCAACCCUGUUGAGCCAUCCCAGCAAGAGAAUACCCAGAGACGGGAGGAACAAGAGCACAGGUUUACGACGGAAGGGGAAAGGACCAAGGAGAGGAGGUGUGAGGGACAAGAGGAAGGUGGCUUCUGUUGAGCUCUGUCCUCUAUCGGAGCCCCCUGCUCCGCACUAGCAGAGGGCCAUGGACUGGACUGAGAGGCCCUCAGAGCUGCUGGAUAAUGUGUUUGAUGACCAGGGCUACCAGCAUGAGAGUAUUUCUAAAAAUACCACUCCAUCCCGGAUGUAAGAGAUGUGUGUUAUGCAAGACUCUGGCAAUUCAAGUGUCAAGAUGGAAUGAGAGACUGCGUAGACAGUUUCUGGGUCUCCAGGCCCACAAAGUAAACAAUUAUCUGAGGCAUUUUCCUGGAAAGACAUGAAAGAGGACAGAUAGUGGCCAAAAUUAACUUCAAAAUUAAAG